Molecule: long non-coding RNA, 316 nt
Filed under: Oncorhynchus kisutch (coho salmon)
Lineage: Eukaryota; Metazoa; Chordata; Actinopteri; Salmoniformes; Salmonidae
Description: lncRNA (ENSOKIG00005022713.1)
Source: RNAcentral
AUGUUAAGAUCUCCUCAAUUUAAGGUAAACAGACGAGGAGGCAUACACAGGCCUCUACAUUAUGGACAAGACUUUACCCUCCUUACACCUGAUGAAUAUAACAGGAAACCUGUUCGAUCACCAUGCACUGCAAAAUCAUUAGAGGUGUGGAUACGGAGAACAUCAACAUGCCAGAGGAUAUACCCAUUGGACUUGGGGCUCUGCUGGGAGUUUACCUCAUAUUUAAAUUUUUUAAAUUCUGCUUUCCCACUAAAAUCAUAAUAAACACUGACGACUAAAAUAGUGUUAUUGUUGUUAUUGUAAUGCAUAUUAAUAA